UUCUACUUUCUUUUCUUUCUUUCUUUCUUUUGAUGUUAUUUCUACCAAGUCCAUCUGCAUGUUUCAUUCUUUUUUCUUUCUUUCUUUCUUUUCUUUUCUGUUAUUUUGACGAGGUCCAUCUGCAUGUAUAUUCACUCUUCUUUCUCAUUCUCCUCCUCCUCCAGCAGUUCUCUCCUAGACUCUCCUCCCUCUCAGACCUCCACAUUAUUCUCACUCCUGCUGCCUCCUUCACACCUUCUCAACCCACACCCUCCUGUUUACCAAGCCACACCCUCCCAUUUACCAAUCCUCACCUCAUCCUCUUUCUUACGUUCCCUCCUCCACACGUCAGCUCACAUCCACUCAUUUACUUUCUUUCACAUCUUUUUUUUUCACGUGCUUAUCAAUCCUCACCUCGCAUUUAUUUUACAGUCCCUUCUUCACACCAUCUCAAUUCACAUCCACCCACUUCCCUGUUCCUCCCUCACCUAUCUCUUACGUUCUCCCACCUCGCCUCCAACAGAUAAUCAGUACCAGGGGAAAAAGUUUGAUCGGGCGCAACAACUGAAGUACAAGAAAGGCCACGACACAAUACAGGACCUGAAGGACAUCCCACGAACCAACCUCACCCUCGUCAAUUACUAGCGUGGUGGCGGGCUCCUCCCCUCACACCGCAGCGGGAUGCCUGGAACACAAGCCCCGCACAGCUCUCCACGCACCGGCUCGUUAGCACCACACUAAACCAACCUUGAACCUGAGCCUGAAAACUGGCCUUCCACUCUUCCCUCUCGCAACAUUUUAUUUCUUCCUAUCAUUUGUUCAUCCCUUUCAUUCUCCCACUCUGCUCUUCUUCGCUCUUCCGUGUUCUUUUAAAUCUUGACAUUUGAGUUCCUCUUGUCUGCUCGAGUGAAGCGAAUGGGGCUUUGCUUCGUUCAGAGUUCAAGCACUAUAGGGUUGUACCACUGCCAACAAAAUCUUUUUCGCCGUGCUUUUAUCAAGAGAUCUCAAAUUUUCCGUGGUAUUAUUAAUUUCAACUUAGGCUCCAGCACACUUGAACGCUGUAUGGUUUGAAUGCUAGACAAAUGUUGCUAUCUAUCUAGUUGCUUGCGUCUAUAGUUUUCAAUCAGCAGGAAGCAGAAAGCGAAGGUGGAUGAGUGAAAAGUGAGAAAAGAUAUCUUUCCUUUGAUCACAACGACUUGAUAUGUUUUCUUCCCCAAAUCGUCUUCAGUUACACAAGACCUCUAACCGAACCCUACAAACACUGACCAAACAUACAGCCAAUUAAACAAAAAAAAAAAAAAAAAAAAACGGAAAAGCAGCGUUUCAGCACGUCCUGAGAGCAAGACAGAUCCUGGAGGGCUGGACUCGACUGUACUCAGCUCUCUGGACGUCUCUUACUCCUCAACAAAGCGAGGCGAGGCGAGGCGACCGGCGGGGCUCAUAUACCCGAACCCGCCAUUCAGUGGAAAGCCUCCUGAUCCGCUCUGAUCACCGCACGCACUUGCACCGGCCAAGGCAAAACAAUAAAAGGAAGCAAAAGAAGUCGAUGCUGCUGCUAAACUCAGGAUAAAACUGACCGCACAGGUAUAUCUUCUUCUUUACUUCCCACGACCUGCACACAUUUCUAAAAGGCAAGGCAAGGGAAGCUGAACUGAAGCGAAAGGAUGAAAAUAAGUAAAGGGAGAAGAGUGUAUGUUAUUAUUUUUUUUUUUCCGAGAUGUACUUUUCGUUAUUAUUUUCUUCCUUAG
Scylla paramamosain (green mud crab) is the source of this 1727-nucleotide long non-coding RNA. RefSeq lists it as uncharacterized. The transcript is spliced from 2 exons. NCBI's taxonomy places the organism in Eukaryota, Metazoa, Arthropoda, Malacostraca, Decapoda, Portunidae. The record is from RefSeq and is a predicted model, not a curated record.